Molecule: ribosomal RNA, 87 nt
Filed under: Gordonibacter sp. RACS_AR68
Lineage: Bacteria; Bacillati; Actinomycetota; Coriobacteriia; Eggerthellales; Eggerthellaceae
Source: RNAcentral
CGAUCCCAUUCCGAACUCGGAAGUUAAGCCCGCCAUCGCCGAAAGUACUGCGGAGCCAGUCCGUGGGAGGAUAGGGCGUCGCGCUCG